AUGCGCACCAGCAUUUCGGAUCAGAUUGUCGAAGUGUGGAACUGUUUCAAGUCACUCCAUACGAUGUGCAAGUCUCUCUACUGCGGAAACCUUGAUGGGCCGGCCCAGUUUGGGGGGUUGUACAGAAGCGGGACUCAAACUGCAGUUGCAUCGCUCAUGCCUAGCACAGAAUAUGGGAUUGCGAGAGUAAGAUGGCCUUGGUAUGAUUGGGCCCCCUUUGACAGACCAUGGAAAGGUUGUGCCCUUCCUUGCGACACUGCUGGCCGUCAGCUGUUUGCAUCCUGCACCAAGAUUAUUGUGGGUAAUGGGAACAAAUCAUCCUUCUGGAUCGAUGGCUUGAUGGUGAUGCUCCAAAAGACAGUUUUCCUACAUCAGUUUGCCCUCUCUCGCUCGAAAUCUAGCACAAUCUAUCAUGCACUCACUGACGGCAGAUGGAUGAGAGGUUUAAAUACGAUGGAUGAUGUUGCUACACUCGAGGAUUUCCUAUGUUUAUGGACGAAAGUGGAGUCGGUACAAUCUGGUAUCCUUCCUAGCAUGGAGGAUAAUUCUCUAGUUUGGACUCUUACUUCAAACAACAACUACUCAGCCAAAUCGGCCUAUGAUAUUCAGUUCAAGACAAGGAUCCCUAUAUUGGUGUUGGAUAGUGUUUGGAAGAUUAAGGCGGAAGCUAAAGUGAAAUUCUUCAUGUGGACGUUGUUGCAAAAUAGAUUAUGGACUGCCGACAGACUACAACAUCGGAACUGGGAUCAUCAUGAUCGCUGCUGCAACUGUAAUCAAGUCCUUGAGACUGCCGCUCACCUCAUCCUCUUGUGCCCUAUGACAAGGAGGUCUGGCACUACUUCAGCUCCACCAACCAAUUUGCUGCUCGACAUGCCCUCGACACAAGCUCCAUUGUGGGAUGGUGGAAAAAAGUUUUCACUCACCUUCAGAAGGAUGAUACCGUGCAGAUUUGCACCCCCUCCGCUAUUCUUGUGCAGCAUUAUUCUUGUGAUUGCAUGCACCUUGACGAUGUCAUUUUUCCCUCGCAUGUCCCGAUUGCCCAAUAAUCUCUGUGUUGGUGGUUUCAUCUUCUGA
Molecule: ribosomal RNA, 1074 nt
Filed under: Triticum aestivum (bread wheat)
Lineage: Eukaryota; Viridiplantae; Streptophyta; Magnoliopsida; Poales; Poaceae
Description: partial small subunit ribosomal RNA
Source: RNAcentral